UUAUCCAACUUUCACCAUUCAUCUUUCUUUGCUUUCUCUAAGAACGAUUUCAAGGACGUUAUCCUCAUUCCUCCCCCUAAAAAAGUGGUCAUCUAUUUUUCUUGGCGUCCUCGGAGUGGCGACCAGAGAGACCCCUUUUCCCCGAGUUGAGAGGAGGGAGGAGGAGGACCGAAGAGGGCGGAGUGGGGGAGUUUGACCUCUCACAAAUUUUCUCCUCAGUCCUUCUCCAGCGUCCGGUCGAGCCACAUCGCUCCUUCAACUUUUUCCGAUAAGUCCCCACCACUUCAGAUGAUAUCCAAAAUAAUCGCCGAGUCGCAAGGGAUCAUCCGCGAGAAGAGGACAAAGUUCACCCAAAUUCCGUUCAACGAUGACGACGCCGACGCCAGUGGCACCCACGACCCCCUCUCAGUUGGAUGAGGAUCUCUCCCACGUGCAAAAUUUAUCGUUUGUGUCGUCCCAAAAAAUCGACAAGGACAAGGUAAGCGCCCUUUUGAAGAACUUGUGCGGUCUGGACGCCAUCCGGGAAAAGAGGAUGAUGAAGUGGAUUAGAUACUACAUAUACAUACACAUUGCAAAAGACAAAAAUUUCCUGCAUAUUUCAUAAUUUCAUAAGUAUCUACUUUUUAUUUUACAAAAUUCAGAACAAAUUAAAUUAAUAAAUUAAUCCUUAAUUUAAUUUAAUUCAGAGUUGUGAAAUAUUAAAUUAAUAAAGCUUGUUCCAACGGAAAAUAAAUCAGAAUUUGACAUGAAAA
Long non-coding RNA from Folsomia candida, 752 nucleotides. RefSeq lists it as uncharacterized. NCBI's taxonomy places the organism in Eukaryota, Metazoa, Arthropoda, Collembola, Entomobryomorpha, Isotomidae. The transcript has 2 exons. The record is from RefSeq and is a predicted model, not a curated record.